GGGUUGUGAGGUUAAGCGACUAAGCGUACACGGUGGAUGCCCUGGCAGUCAGAGGCGAUGAAGGACGUGCUAAUCUGCGAUAAGCGUCGGUAAGGUGAUAUGAACCGUUAUAACCGGCGAUUUCCGAAUGGGGAAACCCAGUGUGAUUCGUCACACUAUCAUUAACUGAAUCCAUAGGUUAAUGAGGCGAACCGGGGGAACUGAAACAUCUAAGUACCCCGAGGAAAAGAAAUCAACCGAGAUUCCCCCAGUAGCGGCGAGCGAACGGGGAGCAGCCCAGAGCCUGAAUCAGUGUGUGUGUUAGUGGAAGCGUCUGGAAAGGCGCGCGAUACAGGGUGACAGCCCCGUACACAAAAAUGCACAUGCUGUGAGCUCGAUGAGUAGGGCGGGACACGUGGUAUCCUGUCUGAAUAUGGGGGGACCAUCCUCCAAGGCUAAAUACUCCUGACUGACCGAUAGUGAACCAGUACCGUGAGGGAAAGGCGAAAAGAACCCCGGCGAGGGGAGUGAAAAAGAACCUGAAACCGUGUACGUACAAGCAGUGGGAGCCUCUUUAUGGGGUGACUGCGUACCUUUUGUAUAAUGGGUCAGCGACUUAUAUUCUGUAGCAAGGUUAACCGAAUAGGGGAGCCGAAGGGAAACCGAGUCUUAACUGGGCGUUAAGUUGCAGGGUAUAGACCCGAAACCCGGUGAUCUAGCCAUGGGCAGGUUGAAGGUUGGGUAACACUAACUGGAGGACCGAACCGACUAAUGUUGAAAAAUUAGCGGAUGACUUGUGGCUGGGGGUGAAAGGCCAAUCAAACCGGGAGAUAGCUGGUUCUCCCCGAAAGCUAUUUAGGUAGCGCCUCGUGAAUUCAUCUCCGGGGGUAGAGCACUGUUUCGGCAAGGGGGUCAUCCCGACUUACCAACCCGAUGCAAACUGCGAAUACCGGAGAAUGUUAUCACGGGAGACACACGGCGGGUGCUAACGUCCGUCGUGAAGAGGGAAACAACCCAGACCGCCAGCUAAGGUCCCAAAGUCAUGGUUAAGUGGGAAACGAUGUGGGAAGGCCCAGACAGCCAGGAUGUUGGCUUAGAAGCAGCCAUCAUUUAAAGAAAGCGUAAUAGCUCACUGGUCGAGUCGGCCUGCGCGGAAGAUGUAACGGGGCUAAACCAUGCACCGAAGCUGCGGCAGCGACGCUUAUGCGUUGUUGGGUAGGGGAGCGUUCUGUAAGCCUGCGAAGGUGUACUGUGAGGUAUGCUGGAGGUAUCAGAAGUGCGAAUGCUGACAUAAGUAACGAUAAAGCGGGUGAAAAGCCCGCUCGCCGGAAGACCAAGGGUUCCUGUCCAACGUUAAUCGGGGCAGGGUGAGUCGACCCCUAAGGCGAGGCCGAAAGGCGUAGUCGAUGGGAAACAGGUUAAUAUUCCUGUACUUGGGGUUACUGCGAAGGGGGGACGGAGAAGGCUAUGUUGGCCGGGCGACGGUUGUCCCGGUUUAAGCGUGUAGGCUGGUUUUCCAGGCAAAUCCGGAAAAUCAAGGCUGAGGCGUGAUGACGAGGCACUACGGUGCUGAAGCAACAAAUGCCCUGCUUCCAGGAAAAGCCUCUAAGCAUCAGGUAACAUCAAAUCGUACCCCAAACCGACACAGGUGGUCAGGUAGAGAAUACCAAGGCGCUUGAGAGAACUCGGGUGAAGGAACUAGGCAAAAUGGUGCCGUAACUUCGGGAGAAGGCACGCUGAUAUGUAGGUGAAGCGACUUGCUCGUGGAGCUGAAAUCAGUCGAAGAUACCAGCUGGCUGCAACUGUUUAUUAAAAACACAGCACUGUGCAAACACGAAAGUGGACGUAUACGGUGUGACGCCUGCCCGGUGCCGGAAGGUUAAUUGAUGGGGUUAGCGGUAACGCGAAGCUCUUGAUCGAAGCCCCGGUAAACGGCGGCCGUAACUAUAACGGUCCUAAGGUAGCGAAAUUCCUUGUCGGGUAAGUUCCGACCUGCACGAAUGGCGUAAUGAUGGCCAGGCUGUCUCCACCCGAGACUCAGUGAAAUUGAACUCGCUGUGAAGAUGCAGUGUACCCGCGGCAAGACGGAAAGACCCCGUGAACCUUUACUAUAGCUUGACACUGAACAUUGAGCCUUGAUGUGUAGGAUAGGUGGGAGGCUUUGAAGUGUGGACGCCAGUCUGCAUGGAGCCGACCUUGAAAUACCACCCUUUAAUGUUUGAUGUUCUAACGUUGGCCCCUUAUCGGGGUUGCGGACAGUGUCUGGUGGGUAGUUUGACUGGGGCGGUCUCCUCCUAAAGAGUAACGGAGGAGCACGAAGGUUGGCUAAUCCUGGUCGGACAUCAGGAGGUUAGUGCAAUGGCAUAAGCCAGCUUGACUGCGAGCGUGACGGCGCGAGCAGGUGCGAAAGCAGGUCAUAGUGAUCCGGUGGUUCUGAAUGGAAGGGCCAUCGCUCAACGGAUAAAAGGUACUCCGGGGAUAACAGGCUGAUACCGCCCAAGAGUUCAUAUCGACGGCGGUGUUUGGCACCUCGAUGUCGGCUCAUCACAUCCUGGGGCUGAAGUAGGUCCCAAGGGUAUGGCUGUUCGCCAUUUAAAGUGGUACGCGAGCUGGGUUUAGAACGUCGUGAGACAGUUCGGUCCCUAUCUGCCGUGGGCGCUGGAGAACUGAGGGGGGCUGCUCCUAGUACGAGAGGACCGGAGUGGACGCAUCACUGGUGUUCGGGUUGUCAUGCCAAUGGCACUGCCCGGUAGCUAAAUGCGGAAGAGAUAAGUGCUGAAAGCAUCUAAGCACGAAACUUGCCCCGAGAUGAGUUCUCCCUGACCCUUUAAGGGUCCUGAAGGAACGUUGAAGACGACGACGUUGAUAGGCCGGGUGUGUAAGCGCAGCGAUGCGUUGAGCUAACCGGUACUAAUGAACCGUGAGGCUUAACCUUACAACGCCGAAG
This 2926-nucleotide ribosomal RNA is filed under the name Escherichia coli. Its description in RNAcentral is "23S ribosomal RNA". It matches the Rfam family "Bacterial large subunit ribosomal RNA". Lineage: Bacteria; Pseudomonadati; Pseudomonadota; Gammaproteobacteria; Enterobacterales; Enterobacteriaceae. The record is from RNAcentral.